This 400-nucleotide ribosomal RNA is filed under the name uncultured bacterium. Its description in RNAcentral is "bacterial SSU rRNA". It matches the Rfam family "Bacterial small subunit ribosomal RNA", at positions 975 to 1375 of the family's 1533-position model. The record is from RNAcentral.
CUGGCCUUGACAUACUAGAAACUUUCCAGAGAUGGAUUGGUGCCUUCGGGAAUCUAGAUACAGGUGCUGCAUGGCUGUCGUCAGCUCGUGUUGUGAAAUGUUGGGUUAAGUCCCGCAACGAGCGCAACCCUUAUCCUUUGUUGCCAGCGGUCCGGCCGGGAACUCAAAGGAGACUGCCAGUGAUAAACUGGAGGAAGGUGGGGAUGACGUCAAGUCAUCAUGGCCCUUACGAGUAGGGCUACACACGUGCUACAAUGGCGCAUACAAAGAGAAGCGACCUCGCGAGAGCAAGCGGACCUCAUAAAGUGCGUCGUAGUCCGGAUUGGAGUCUGCAACUCGACUCCAUGAAGUCGGAAUCGCUAGUAAUCGUAGAUCAGAAUGCUACGGUGAAUACGUUCCC